RNAcentral lists this ribosomal RNA (2929 nucleotides) under Salmonella enterica. Its description in RNAcentral is "23S ribosomal RNA". It matches the Rfam family "Bacterial large subunit ribosomal RNA". The record is from RNAcentral. Lineage: Bacteria; Pseudomonadati; Pseudomonadota; Gammaproteobacteria; Enterobacterales; Enterobacteriaceae.
GGGUUGUGAGGUUAAGCGACUAAGCGUACACGGUGGAUGCCCUGGCAGUCAGAGGCGAUGAAGGGCGUGCUAAUCUGCGAUAAGCGCCGGUAAGGUGAUAUGAACCGUUAUAACCGGCGAUACCCGAAUGGGGAAACCCAGUGUGACUCGUCACACUAUCAUUAACUGAAUCCAUAGGUUAAUGAGGCGAACCGGGGGAACUGAAACAUCUAAGUACCCCGAGGAAAAGAAAUCAACCGAGAUUCCCCCAGUAGCGGCGAGCGAACGGGGAGGAGCCCAGAGCCUGAAUCAGCAUGUGUGUUAGUGGAAGCGUCUGGAAAGGCGCGCGAUACAGGGUGACAGCCCCGUACACAAAAGCGCAUGUGCUGUGAGCUCGAUGAGUAGGGCGGGACACGUGGUAUCCUGUCUGAAUAUGGGGGGACCAUCCUCCAAGGCUAAAUACUCCUGACUGACCGAUAGUGAACCAGUACCGUGAGGGAAAGGCGAAAAGAACCCCGGCGAGGGGAGUGAAAAAGAACCUGAAACCGUGUACGUACAAGCAGUGGGAGCACAGGUUUACCUGUGUGACUGCGUACCUUUUGUAUAAUGGGUCAGCGACUUAUAUUCUGUAGCAAGGUUAACCGUAUAGGGGAGCCGGAGGGAAACCGAGUCUUAACCGGGCGUUAAGUUGCAGGGUAUAGACCCGAAACCCGGUGAUCUAGCCAUGGGCAGGUUGAAGGUUGGGUAACACUAACUGGAGGACCGAACCGACUAAUGUUGAAAAAUUAGCGGAUGACCUGUGGCUGGGGGUGAAAGGCCAAUCAAACCGGGAGAUAGCUGGUUCUCCCCGAAAGCUAUUUAGGUAGCGCCUCGUGAAUUCAUCUCCGGGGGUAGAGCACUGUUUCGGCUAGGGGGCCAUCCCGGCUUACCAACCCGAUGCAAACUGCGAAUACCGGAGAAUGUUAUCACGGGAGACACACGGCGGGUGCUAACGUCCGUCGUGAAGAGGGAAACAACCCAGACCGCCAGCUAAGGUCCCAAAGUCAUGGUUAAGUGGGAAACGAUGUGGGAAGGCCCAGACAGCCAGGAUGUUGGCUUAGAAGCAGCCAUCAUUUAAAGAAAGCGUAAUAGCUCACUGGUCGAGUCGGCCUGCGCGGAAGAUGUAACGGGGCUAAACCAUGCACCGAAGCUGCGGCAGCGACGCUGAUGCGUUGUUGGGUAGGGGAGCGUUCUGUAAGCCUGUGAAGGUGUGUCGUGAGGCAUGCUGGAGGUAUCAGAAGUGCGAAUGCUGACAUAAGUAACGAUAAAGCGGGUGAAAAGCCCGCUCGCCGGAAGACCAAGGGUUCCUGUCCAACGUUAAUCGGGGCAGGGUGAGUCGACCCCUAAGGCGAGGCCGAAAGGCGUAGUCGAUGGGAAACGGGUUAAUAUUCCCGUACUUGGUGUUACUGCGAAGGGGGGACGGAGAAGGCUAUGUUGGCCGGGCGACGGUUGUCCCGGUUUAAGCGUGUAGGUGUGUGUUCCAGGUAAAUCCGGUUCACUUUAACACUGAGGCGUGAUGACGAGGCACUACGGUGCUGAAGCAACAAAUGCCCUGCUUCCAGGAAAAGCCUCUAAGCAUCAGGUAACAUCAAAUCGUACCCCAAACCGACACAGGUGGUCAGGUAGAGAAUACCAAGGCGCUUGAGAGAACUCGGGUGAAGGAACUAGGCAAAAUGGUGCCGUAACUUCGGGAGAAGGCACGCUGACAUGUAGGUGAAGUGAUUUACUCACGGAGCUGAAGUCAGUCGAAGAUACCAGCUGGCUGCAACUGUUUAUUAAAAACACAGCACUGUGCAAACACGAAAGUGGACGUAUACGGUGUGACGCCUGCCCGGUGCCGGAAGGUUAAUUGAUGGGGUCAGCGCAAGCGAAGCUCCUGAUCGAAGCCCCGGUAAACGGCGGCCGUAACUAUAACGGUCCUAAGGUAGCGAAAUUCCUUGUCGGGUAAGUUCCGACCUGCACGAAUGGCGUAAUGAUGGCCAGGCUGUCUCCACCCGAGACUCAGUGAAAUUGAACUCGCUGUGAAGAUGCAGUGUACCCGCGGCAAGACGGAAAGACCCCGUGAACCUUUACUAUAGCUUGACACUGAACAUUGAGCCUUGAUGUGUAGGAUAGGUGGGAGGCUUUGAAGUGUGGACGCCAGUCUGCAUGGAGCCGACCUUGAAAUACCACCCUUUAAUGUUUGAUGUUCUAACGUGGACCCGUAAUCCGGGUUGCGGACAGUGUCUGGUGGGUAGUUUGACUGGGGCGGUCUCCUCCUAAAGAGUAACGGAGGAGCACGAAGGUUGGCUAAUCCUGGUCGGACAUCAGGAGGUUAGUGCAAUGGCAUAAGCCAGCUUGACUGCGAGCGUGACGGCGCGAGCAGGUGCGAAAGCAGGUCAUAGUGAUCCGGUGGUUCUGAAUGGAAGGGCCAUCGCUCAACGGAUAAAAGGUACUCCGGGGAUAACAGGCUGAUACCGCCCAAGAGUUCAUAUCGACGGCGGUGUUUGGCACCUCGAUGUCGGCUCAUCACAUCCUGGGGCUGAAGUAGGUCCCAAGGGUAUGGCUGUUCGCCAUUUAAAGUGGUACGCGAGCUGGGUUUAGAACGUCGUGAGACAGUUCGGUCCCUAUCUGCCGUGGGCGCUGGAGAACUGAGGGGGGCUGCUCCUAGUACGAGAGGACCGGAGUGGACGCAUCACUGGUGUUCGGGUUGUCAUGCCAAUGGCACUGCCCGGUAGCUAAAUGCGGAAGAGAUAAGUGCUGAAAGCAUCUAAGCACGAAACUUGCCCCGAGAUGAGUUCUCCCUGAGACUUAGAGUCUCCUGAAGGAACGUUGAAGACGACGACGUUGAUAGGCCGGGUGUGUAAGCGCAGCGAUGCGUUGAGCUAACCGGUACUAAUGAACCGUGAGGCUUAACCUUACAACGCCGAAG